Molecule: ribosomal RNA, 403 nt
Filed under: bacterium
Lineage: Bacteria
Description: partial 16S ribosomal RNA
Rfam family: Bacterial small subunit ribosomal RNA
Source: RNAcentral
UGGGGAAUAUUGCACAAUGGGGGAAACCCUGAUGCAGCGACGCCGCGUGAACGAAGAAGGUAUUCGUAUCGUAAAGUUCUGUCCUAUGGGAAGAUAAUGACAGUACCAUAGAAGAAAGCUCCGGCUAAAUACGUGCCAGCAGCCGCGGUAAUACGUAUGGAGCGAGCGUUGUCCGGAAUUAUUGGGCGUAAAGGGUACGCAGGCGGUUUAAUAAGUCGAAUGUUAAAGAUCGGGGGUCAACCCCGUAAAGCAUUGGAAACUGAUAAACUUGAGUAGUGGAGAGGAGAGUGGAAUUCCUAGUGUAGUGGUGAAAUACGUAGAUAUUAGGAGGAAUACCAGUAGCGAAGGCGACUUUCUGGACACAAACUGACGCUGAGGUACGAAAGCGUGGGGAGCAAACAGG